Molecule: non-coding RNA, 22 nt
Filed under: Arabidopsis thaliana (thale cress)
Lineage: Eukaryota; Viridiplantae; Streptophyta; Magnoliopsida; Brassicales; Brassicaceae
Source: RNAcentral
CCAAUAUGACUAGGAAUCUCAU